CCUACGGGUGGCAGCAGUGAGGAAUAUUGGUCAAUGGACGAGAGUCUGAACCAGCCAAGUAGCGUGAAGGAUGACUGCCCUAUGGGUUGUAAACUUCUUUUGUAAAAGAAUAAAACGAGGCACGUGUGCCUGUUUGCAUGUACUUUAUGAAUAAGGAUCGGCUAACUCCGUGCCAGCAGCCGCGGUAAUACGGAGGAUCCGAGCGUUAUCCGGAUUUAUUGGGUUUAAAGGGAGCGUAGGUGGGUUGUUAAGUCAGUUGUGAAAGUUUGCGGCUCAACCGUAAAAUUGCAAUUGAUACUGGCAGUCUUGAGUAUAGUUGAGGUAGGCGGAAUUCGUGGUGUAGCGGUGAAAUGCUUAGAUAUCACGAAGAACCCCGAUUGCGAAGGCAGCUUACUAAACUGUGACUGACAUUGAUGCUCGAAAGUGUGGGUAUCAAACAGGAUUAGAUACCCUAGUAGUC
Molecule: ribosomal RNA, 460 nt
Filed under: uncultured bacterium
Lineage: Bacteria
Description: partial 16S ribosomal RNA
Rfam family: Bacterial small subunit ribosomal RNA
Source: RNAcentral